RNAcentral lists this ribosomal RNA (493 nucleotides) under Thoropa megatympanum. RNAcentral describes it as "partial 16S ribosomal RNA". It matches the Rfam family "Bacterial large subunit ribosomal RNA", at positions 1916 to 2561 of the family's 2925-position model. Lineage: Eukaryota; Metazoa; Chordata; Amphibia; Anura; Cycloramphidae. The record is from RNAcentral.
GACUUUAUUCAACGGCCGCGGUAUCCUAACCGUGCGAAGGUAGCGUAAUCACUUGUUCUUUAAAUGAGGACUAGUAUGAAAGGCAUCACGAGGGUUCUACUGUCUCCUUUUUCUAAUUAGUGAAACUAAUCUCCCCGUGAAGAAGCGGGGAUCCAAAUAUAAGACGAGAAGACCCUAUGGAGCUUUAAAUUAUAUAACAAUUGCUACCCCCCCCCCUUUUUUUUAUUAACCAUUUAACGUCUAGCAAUUUGAUUAUAUAUUUUUGGUUGGGGUGACCGCGGAGUACAACAAAACCUCCACAUUGAAAGGACCAUGCUCCUAAGCUAAAAAUAACAACUUUAUGCAUCAGUAUACUGACAUUAAUUGACCCAAUAUAUUUGAUCAACGAACCAAGUUACCCUAGGGAUAACAGCGCAAUCUACUUUAAGAGCCCAUAUCGACAAGUAGGUUUACGACCUCGAUGUUGGAUCAGGGUGUCCUAGUGGUGCAGCCG